Molecule: ribosomal RNA, 243 nt
Filed under: bacterium A5M_2
Lineage: Bacteria
Description: partial 16S ribosomal RNA
Source: RNAcentral
UCCUACGGGAGGCAGAAUCAGGGAAUAUUCGCCAAUGGGCAAAAGCCUGAUCCAGCCUUCCCCCUUGUGUGAAGAAGGCCUUUUGGUUGUCAAGGUCUUUGAAUGGGGAGGUAAAAGUUUGCGGGUUAAUACCCAUAGAGCCCUGACACUUACCCACAGUAAUAAGCUACCCGCCUAUCAUCUGUGCCUACCACCCACGGCCAUCUACAUAGGUGCGCUGCCAGUUAAUCGCGAAUUAUCUCG